UGCGUAGGCGGACUAAUAAGUCAGUGGUGAAAUCUCUCGGCUCAACCGGGAAACUGCCAUUGAUACUGUUAGUCUUGAGUUCGGUUGAGGUAGGCGGAAUGUGUAAUGUAGCGGUGAAAUGCUUAGAUAUUACACAGAACACCAAUUGCGUAGGCAGCUUACUAGACCGACACUGACGCUGAGGCACGAAAGCGUGGGUAGCGAACAGGAUUAGAUACCCUGGUAGUCC
Molecule: ribosomal RNA, 229 nt
Filed under: uncultured bacterium
Lineage: Bacteria
Description: partial 16S ribosomal RNA
Rfam family: Bacterial small subunit ribosomal RNA
Source: RNAcentral